RNAcentral lists this long non-coding RNA (3774 nucleotides) under Salmo salar (Atlantic salmon). RNAcentral describes it as "lncRNA (ENSSSAG00000118172.1)". The record is from RNAcentral. Lineage: Eukaryota; Metazoa; Chordata; Actinopteri; Salmoniformes; Salmonidae.
ACCGUCCCACUGCUCAUAACUGGUCAUCAGUCAUCAGCUGUUGAUUUCCUGCUUCAGGCUGUCUGACUAAAACACAAUUAGGACCCGACAAGUUGCCAGGAAAACUUGAAUGCUUGUCAUUUAUCCAAAGCUUUAAUUUCAAACGUGUUUUUUUUUUUUUGUACUGUUAGCUAGGAAAAAUGUGUAACGUCCGCCAAGUAGAGCAUGGAUGAAGCAAACACAUAAUGUUCCCUCCUACCCUCCAUGAGGUGGUUAGCCUCUGUAAUACAGAACGAAGUGAAACAACAAGAUGAAACAGUUCUGGAACAAUAGUCGUCCUUCAGCUCGGGCCGUGGCUCCAUCGGUCUGGGCCAACGCCGGACAACCACAUGGUGAUUAAUGAGUUUUGGCUCUUUAGCCUUUUAAUUUUUUUUUUAACGAUAAAUAAAUGUCUACUGUUAAUAUGAACACAAUGAUCUGCAGUUAACAACGACAUUAAUAAAAUCCCCACUGUUAAAGGAAAUUCACAGCCUGAAAUAUUUGGUAUUAUUUAUUACCGAAGGCGUUUGACCCAGGUUUACAUGGGCAAUGACAUAUUUGUAAUAGUUGGGGUAGAGUAGUGGUACAGGGGCUGUUUAGACAGUAAUUAAUGGGGGUAGACUUCUGGUCCAGGGGCUGUUUAGACAGUAAUUAAUGGGGGUAGACUAGUGGUCCAGGGGCUGUUUAGACAGUAAUGAAUGGGGGUAGAGUAGGGGUCCAGGGGCUGUUUAGACAGUAAUUAAUGGGGGUAGAGUAGUGGUCCAGGGGCUGUUCAGACAGUAAUUAAUGGGGGUAGACUAGUGGUACAGGGGCUGUUUAGACAGUAAUUAAUGGGGGUAGAGUAGUGGUCCAGGGGCUGUUUAGACAGUAAUUAAUGGGGGUAAACUAGUGGUCCAGGGGCUGUUUAGACAGUAAUUAAUGGGGGUAGACUAGUGGUACAGGGGCUGUUUAGACAGUAAUUAAUGUGGGUAGACUAUUGGUACAGGGGCUCUGUCUGUUUAGACAGUAAUCAAUGUGGGGUAGAUUAGUGGUACAGGGGCUGUUUAGACAGUAAUUAAUGGGGUAGAGUAGUGGUACAGGGGCUGUUUAGACAGUAAUUAAUGGGGGUAGACUAGUGGUACAGGGGCUGUUUAGACAGUAAUUAAUGGGGUAGACUAGUGGUACAGGGGCUGUUUAGACAGUAAUUAAUGGGGUAGACUAGUGGUCCAGGGGCUGUUUAGACAGUAAUUCAUGGGGUAGACUAGUGGUACAGGGGCUGUUUAGACAGUAAUUAAUGGGGGUAGAGUAGUGGUCCAGGGGCUGUUUAGACAGUAAUUAAUGGGGGUAGACUAUUGGUACAGGGGCUGUUUAGACAGUUAUUAAUGGGGGUAGAGUAGUGGUACAGGGGCUGUUUAGACAGUAAUUAAUGAGGGUAGAGUAGUGGUACAGGGGCUGUUUAGACAGUAAUUAAUGGGGGUAGACUAGUGGUACAGGGGCUGUUUAGACAGUAAUUAAUGGGGGUAGACUAGUGGUCCAGGGGCUGUUUAGACAGUAAUUAAUGGGGGUAGAGUAGUGGUCCAGGGGCUGUUUAGACAGUAAUUAAUGUGGGUAGACUAUUGGUACAGGGGCUCUGUCUGUUUAGACAGUAAUCAAUGUGGGGUAGACUAGUGGUACAGGGGCUGUUUAGACAGUAAUCAAUGGGGGGUAGACUAGUGGUACAGGGGCUGUUUAGACAGUAAUUAAUGGGGGUAGACUAGUGGUACAGGGGCUAUUUAGACAGUAAUUAAUGGGGGUAGACUAGUGGUCCAGGGGCUGUUUAGACAGUAAUUAAUGGGGGUAGAGUAGUGGUCCAGGGGCUGUUUAGACAGUAAUUAAUGUGGGUAGACUAUUGGUACAGGGGCUCUGUCUGUUUAGACAGUAAUCAAUGUGGGGUAGACUAGUGGUACAGGGGCUGUUUAGACAGUAAUCAAUGGGGGGUAGACUAGUGGUACAGGGGCUGUUUAAACAGUAAUUAAUGGGGUAGACUAGUGGUACAGGGGCUGUUUAGACAGUAAUUAAUGGGGGUAGACUAGUGGUACUGGGACUGUUUAGACAGUAAUUAAUGGGGGUAGAGUAGUGGUCCAGGGGCUGUUUAGACAGUAAUUAAUGGGGGUAAACUAGUGGUCCAGGGGCUGUUUAGACAGUAAUUAAUGGGGGUAGACUAGUGGUACAGGGGCUGUUUAGACAGUAAUUAAUGUGGGUAGACUAUUGGUACAGGGGCUCUGUCUGUUUAGACAGUAAUCAAUGUGGGGUAGACUAGUGGUACAGGGGCUGUUUAGACAGUAAUUAAUGUGGGUAGACUAUUGGUACAGGGGCUCUGUCUGUUUAGACAGUAAUCAAUGUGGGGUAGACUAGUGGUACAGGGGCUGUUUAGACAGUAAUUAAUGGGGUAGACUGGUGGUACAGGGGCUGUUUAGACAGUAAUCAAUGGGGGGUAGACUAGUGGUACAGGGGCUGUUUAGACAGUAAUUAAUGGGGUAGACUAGUGGUACAGGGGCUGUUUAGACAGUAAUUAAUGGGGGUAGACUAGUGGUACAGGGGCUGUUUAGAAAGUAAUUAAUGGGGGUAGAGUAGUGGUCCAGGGGCUGUUUAGACAGUAAUUAAUGGGGUAGACUAGUGGUCCAGGGGUUGUUUAGACAGUAAUUAAUGGGGGUAGACUAGUGGUACAGGGGCUGUUUAGACAGUAAUUAAUGGGGUAGACUAGUGGUCCAGGGGCUGUUUAGACAGUAAUUAAUGGGGGUAGACUAGUGGUACAGGGGCUGUUUAGACAGUAAUUAAUGGGGGUAGACUAGUGGUACAGGGGCUGUUUAGACAGUAAUUAAUGGGGGUAGAGUAGUGGUACAGGGGCUGUUUAGACAGUAAUCAAUGUGGGGUAGACUAGUGGUACAGGGGCUGUUUAGACAGUAAUCAAUGGGGGGUAGACUAGUGGUACAGGGGCUGUUUAGACAGUAAUUAAUGGGGUAGACUAGUGGUACAGGGGCUGUUUAGACAGUAAUUAAUGGGGGUAGACUAGUGGUACAGGGGCUGUUUAGACAGUAAUUAAUGUGGGGUAGACUAGUGGUCCAGGGGCUGUUUAGACAGUAAUUAAUGGGGGUAGACUAGUGGUACAGGGGCUGUUUAGACAGUAAUUAAUGGGGGUAGAGUAGUGGUCCAGGGGCUGUUUAGACAGUAUUUAAUGGGGGUAGAGUAGUGGUACAGGGGCUGUUUAGACAGUAAUUAAUGGGGGUAGACUAGUGGUACAGGGGCUGUUUAGACAGUAAUUAAUGGGGGUAGAGUAGUGGUCCAGGGGCUGUUUAGACAGUAAUUAAUGGGGGUAGACUAGUGGUCCUGGGGCUCUGUCUGGGGAUGCUAUUCCUGGACCUUUAAACCCUGUUCUGGCAGAGCUGUACUUCCUAAACCAGAGUGGUCAUGAGGGGUAUUUAGUGCUCUGAAGGCUGCCUUCAGACUGCCAAAGCAUCAACUCAAAGCCCUUAGCCAGCCUUUCAGAAGCUGAUAUAUUAUUUUAUCAUCCCUGGGGGGUGGGGGGGGGGACUCCCAAAUAUGACCCGGGUCACUCACUGUCCCAGACAUGAUUUAAACCUUUAGCUUCAAUGGUUUGUGUAGCAGGAGGAGGCUGGCUCCUUGACCAGAGAGCUUUCAUCAUCUGAUAGGACUGUUGAAUAUGGAUGAGCAUGAUGGGAGAGGGCAUGGGGUUGUGUCUCCACCUAGCUAACUCCUUCAUAGCCUCGUGUGGUACAG